GAGAACAACCAGAACAACAAUAACAACAACAACGACAACAACAACAACGAAUAAACAAUCACAACAAGGACAACAACAACACCACCACCACCACCACCACCAACAACAACAACAAUAACAAAAGCAACGACAACAACAACAACAACAACAACAACAAGAACAACGAUGACGAAGACGACAACGUCAACAACAACGACAAUGACGAGAACAACGAGAACACCGACAACAGCAACAAC
Molecule: long non-coding RNA, 236 nt
Filed under: Hordeum vulgare
Lineage: Eukaryota; Viridiplantae; Streptophyta; Magnoliopsida; Poales; Poaceae
Description: long non-coding RNA (HVUL_LNC021542)
Source: RNAcentral